GAGAGUACUCUCAGCACAGCAGCAGCAGCAGCCGCAGCAGCAGAGAAACUGCCCCAGCACAGCUGCAGACCUGAGUCAACCUGAGCCCUUGUUCCCGCCCCCACUCUCAGCCUGGCUCCCAGAUUGGGUUGUUUCUAUCUGUCCUCGUUCUGAUUGGCUGUUUUCGUUCUGCUGGAAGCCAUGGGUCUUGGACCCCUUUACUGCUAAUCAGCGGUUUCAGCUGUCCAAGCCUCAACCCCAGCACUCGGCCCUUGCAGUGAACACUCCUGUUGAGUGCAGCAGAACAACUCCGUGUUCGGAGUCAAUGUAUUUGGGACGGCGGGGAAAAGAGCGGAUAAAAGACUUCAAGACGCCUGUGAAGACCUGCCGGUGAAGGAGGAGGGAGGGAGGUGCAGAGCGCUGUCCCCGCCUGGCCGCCUCGAGCGAUGGGAAGAUGAAACAGGCGGAUUCUUUACCACCUGAGCCACAAGGGAAGCAUGGAAGUAUCUAUAUACCCAUGUUAUUCAGAGCUAUGGAGAUAAAUACUGAAGAAAUCACCUACUAAUAACUGAAAGUAGUUACCUCAGAGGACCAGGAAAGCACGGUAAGCAAUGACAUUUUUGAUACAUGACUAUUUGAUUUUUUAAACUAUAUAAAGCUUUGGUUUAAAAAAAAACUGUAAAAUUUUAAAAUGGAACAAGUUGAAUGAAGAUUGUGCUGCUUCUCUGAGGCGCACAGGUGAUGUCCAGGGAUGAGGUCAAUUCCAUCCUGGACUUUAUAAUGUUGGAGCUAAACUGAACACCAAACCUCCAACCCUGGUGCCGCGGGAAGCUUCUUCAGUUGAGCUGUGUCCUCCAAAGCCAUGCUGGGUGUCUCCUCAGAAAAGCAGGUAUGUGGUCAGAGGCUCUGUUACCUCUGUCUUCACCCUUUCCAACCUCCCACCUGUUUCUAGUGACUUUCAGGCUUGUAGACUCUGUGUAGGUUUAAACUUUUCUAUUUGUGGCUCAUCUGCUGCCCCAGCAUCCAAAGGCCAAGCCCAGUUCCGCUUCUCCCCUGAAUGCUGUGUGUCAGUGAGCAGCUCUGCCAGCUCGCAGUCAGCCAAGCCCAAGCCCUGAGAGGCGCCAUCACUGUGUCCACUGGGAGCAGACCUCCUCACCACCUUCCCCAUGGGCACGACUCUCGUUCAGAUUCUCAUGGCUCCUUACCUUGAUCACGCGACGCCGACUUCAUUGUUCUUAGGCCUCUCAUUCCCCAUCACACCCUCCACAGGGCUCUUCACUUCUGUCCGGGCCUCUGUCCUGCCCCUACCUUCCAGGAGGUUCUCACUCCCUGGCUUAGCGCACAGGAGGUCGUGAUGCUGCUCUGGCCGCCUCUCCCAUCACCGCCCACUCCCAGCUUUCCCUCCACCUGCUGGACCCACCUGCAGCUCCCAGCCAGCACCUGAGCACAUCAUGCCUAGUGUCCUGUCUCACUGCAGGACAAGCAUCACCUCCUCCAGGAAGCCUUCCUUAGAGCCCAAGUGUGAUUCAGGGGCUCCCCUCACUUCCUGCCUGUCCACCUUUCUGGUAGCUCCUGUCUCACUGUAGCAUGAGUGUUUAUUUGCUUAAGUCCUCCAUUCACUGUGGUUUCUUCAAGGUUAUGAAUCAUUUCUUUCUUAUUAAACCUCCGACCUCUCAGCUUGCUGACUGGCCCCAGAAGGGACAGGAAAGUGUGACUGAAGAGAGGCAAUUCCUGAUGUAGCCCCCUCCAGAAGUGUCAACAUGAAAGCAUAUCCGGCUGUUAGCCAGCCCAACGUUGCUCUGGAUUAGGUUAUCAUGUUCCCAUUAGGGCUUGCAAUUGUCAUUAUCUUUUAUUUUUUGUCUGGCUAUUGAUUGUGAAAAUUGAUAAACAUCUUUCACUAUUGUGAUUAUGAAAGGGUAACAGGUAGGAAGGCUAGGGGUCCCCAAGAGGCAGGAGGAAAUAAACUGCAGGUGGCAGAUGUUUUUUGUUUUUUGUUUUCUUUUCUAAUCCUGUCUUGUCAUGACGACACUUUGUUCUGCCUGAACGUAACUUUUCUCAAACCUUAAGCUAACCAAUGCGUUUUUCUUAUGGAAAUCUUUUUAAGCUAUGUUAAUGAAACUAUGUAUUUGACUUGGAAUCUGCCUUUCUUCAAAUCGGUUCUGCCUAAGACUAAGCUUUUUCUCAAACCUUGAACUGAUAAUGGCUCAACAAACCAGUACAUCUUACUCAUGGAAAUGUUUUCGUAAGCUAUGCUAAUGAAACUGCGUAUUUGCUUGGAAAUCCGCCUUUUUUCAAGAUUCAUGUCAACUGUGUCAUGGCUCGGGAUGACUCACCUUGUGCCAAUGCUAUCAAAAACGCAGGUGGUAGGAGAGGGGCCUGGGGCAGCUCGCUCAGUGUCGAUGUGCUUCUUUUAUCUGAUUAGCAACUUGCUAACAGAUGUAUAACUUCUUGCUAAACACCAGCAAGGGGGCACUCUUUCUGUCCCCUUCUGAUGUUUGUGUCAGAAGCUUUCUUUAUCCCUUUUAUACUUGAAGAAAACUGUUAGGGAAAACACAUUCACUGAAACCGCCCACCCUGGCCAGGCUCUCUAGUAACCAUUUGCAUGAGUUGUUUUAGGACAGGAGGUCCUGAUAAGGAAUACGGAACUAAUAAGCCACCACCAACCGGAAGCGUUUGGGAAAGGUCAAAAGGGGACACCGCGUGUCCGCCCACUUCCCAGAAUCUCUCUCGCUGGCAUCCAUAUUGGCUGAGCGGUGCGUGCACCACCAGGAAGGACUCUGAGUCACAAUGAUUGGCCAAAGACCACCCGGACACUCAUCUCAUCCUAUAAAACCCGAGACUGCGAGCCACGCGGCAGAGCAGUUCUCCUGGGUUCCCUUACCCUACUGCUCUCCGCCCAGGUGCUCCUUUCCCAAUAAAAUCUCUUGCUUUGUCAGCACAUGUCUCCUCAGACUAUUCUUUUCUGAGUGUUAGACAAGAGACCUCUCUCGGGGCCCUGGAGGGGGCCCCCCCUUCCUACAACAAAACUUUUUGCUACACAAAAUGCCCCUGGAUCAAAAUCCUCUCUGCUGGAGGUCAUGAAUUCCAGCAUAGCACAUGGCUUGCA
Long non-coding RNA from Bubalus bubalis (water buffalo), 3085 nucleotides. RefSeq lists it as uncharacterized. Lineage: Eukaryota; Metazoa; Chordata; Mammalia; Artiodactyla; Bovidae. The transcript has 2 exons. The record is from RefSeq and is a predicted model, not a curated record.